This 289-nucleotide unclassified non-coding RNA is filed under the name uncultured bacterium. RNAcentral describes it as "partial contains 16S ribosomal RNA and 16S-23S ribosomal RNA intergenic spacer region". It matches the Rfam family "Bacterial small subunit ribosomal RNA", at positions 68 to 349 of the family's 1533-position model. The record is from RNAcentral.
AUUUUUGGGAGCUUGCUCCCAAAAAUUAGCCCCGGACGGGUGAGUAACACGUGGGCAACCUGCCUAUAAGACUGGGAUAACUUCGGGAAACCGGAGCUAAUACCGGAUAAUUCAUAUCUACUCAUGUAGGUAUGCUGAAAGACGGUUUACGCUGUCACUUAUAGAUGGGCCCGCGGCGCAUUAGCUAGUUGGUGAGGUAACGGCUCACCAAGGCAACGAUGCGUAGCCGACCUGAGAGGGUGAUCGGCCACACUGGGACUGAGACACGGCCCAGACUCCUACGGGAGGC